AACGAACGCUGGCGGCAUGCCUAACUCAUGCAAGUCGAACGAAGGCUUCGGCCUUAGUGGCGCACGGGUGCGUAACGCGUGGGAAUCUGCCCUUUGGUUCGGAAUAACAGCUGGAAACGGCUGCUAAUACCGGAUGAUGACGAAAGUCCAAAGAUUUAUCGCCAGAGGAUGAGCCCGCGUUGGAUUAGGUAGUUGGUGGGGUAAAGGCCUACCAAGCCGACGAUCCAUAGCUGGUCUGAGAGGAUGAUCAGCCACACUGGGACUGAGACACGGCCCAGACUCCUACGGGAGGCAGCAGUGGGGAAUAUUGGACAAUGGGCGCAAGCCUGAUCCAGCAAUGCCGCGUGAGUGAUGAAGGCCCUAGGGUUGUAAAGCUCUUUUACCCGGGAAGAUAAUGACUGUACCGGGAGAAUAAGCCCCGGCUAACUCCGUG
This 433-nucleotide ribosomal RNA is filed under the name uncultured bacterium. Its description in RNAcentral is "partial 16S ribosomal RNA". It matches the Rfam family "Bacterial small subunit ribosomal RNA", at positions 29 to 507 of the family's 1533-position model. The record is from RNAcentral.